RNAcentral lists this ribosomal RNA (497 nucleotides) under uncultured bacterium. RNAcentral's name for it is "partial 16S ribosomal RNA". It matches the Rfam family "Bacterial small subunit ribosomal RNA", at positions 28 to 507 of the family's 1533-position model. The record is from RNAcentral.
GAUGAACGCUGGCGGCGUGCCUAAUACAUGCAAGUCGAGCGAACAGACGAGGAGCUUGCUCCUCUGACGUUAGCGGCGGACGGGUGAGUAACACGUGGAUAACCUACCUAUAAGACUGGGAUAACUUCGGGAAACCGGAGCUAAUACCGGAUAAUAUAUUGAACCGCAUGGUUCAAUAGUGAAAGACGGUUUUGCUGUCACUUAUAGAUGGAUCCGCGCCGCAUUAGCUAGUUGGUAAGGUAACGGCUUACCAAGGCAACGAUGCGUAGCCGACCUGAGAGGGUGAUCGGCCACACUGGAACUGAGACACGGUCCAGACUCCUACGGGAGGCAGCAGUAGGGAAUCUUCCGCAAUGGGCGAAAGCUUGACGGAGCAACGCCGCGUGAGUGAUGACGGUCUUCGGAUCGUGAAACUCUGUUAUUAGGGAAGAACAAAUGUGUAAGUAACUAUGCACGUCUUGACGGUACCUAAUCAGAAAGCCACGGCUAACUACGUG